GUGGCAAACACCACUUUCUGAUUUUAAGGACUAAAACUCGGGCUUGUUUGUUCCUGUUUCAAGCAUGAUUAUCAUGCUCUGCAUCUCUCUCUCACUCCCUCUUUUCUCGUCCGAAAAACAGAGCAUCGGCUCUCACCUUUCUCUCUUGCUCCACCGGCCACCAGGCAGCACCACAUCACCUCCCACACCUUCAAGACGAUCGUGCGCAGCUGCAGGAGGCGGCCUUGCGCUGCAGAACCACCGGAGACGGCGGCGGAGGCCGAAAAACCCGUUUUUGCUCCAAGCUUGAUAACUCGAGCUACCGGCCACGAAACCUUCCCAAACUUCACCCACAGGUUCGCCUUGACCUUCUGAAGCUCCCAGAACCUCCCUUUCACGGCGGCGCUGCCUCUGGACGCGGCUGGAACUCGAACCCGGUUGCACCGAAAACUUCGAUCAGAAGGGAUCGAGGCCUGAGGUUGCAGUUUUUACGUCGAACUCGGAGCUCGCCGGUUUCUGGGUUUUUCCGGCCAACCCGACUGUUUGAGGUGAUUGACGGUUUUUACUUGGGCGAGCGAGUUUGGUGUGAUUGUAUUAAUUUGAAGACGCAGCGGGAUUAUCGAGAGCAUCGGCUCUCACCUUUCUCUCUUGCUCCACCGGCCACCAGGCAGCACCACAUCACCUCCCACACCUUCAAGACGAUCGUGCGCAGCUGCAGGAGGCGGCCUUGCGCUGCAGAACCACCGGAGACGGCGGCGGAGGCCGAAAAACCCGUUUUUGCUCCAAGCUUGAUAACUCGAGCUACCGGCCACGAAACCUUCCCAAACUUCACCCACAGGUUCGCCUUGACCUUCUGAAGCUCCCAGAACCUCCCUUUCACGGCGGCGCUGCCUCUGGACGCGGCUGGAACUCGAACCCGGUUGCACCGAAAACUUCGAUCAGAAGGGAUCGAGGCCUGAGGUUGCAGUUUUUACGUCGAACUCGGAGCUCGCCGGUUUCUGGGUUUUUCCGGCCAACCCGACUGUUUGAGGUGAUUGACGGUUUUUACUUGGGCGAGCGAGUUUGGUGUGAUUGUAUUAAUUUGAAGACGCAGCGGGAUUAUCGAGCGGGUAAUCCUACAGGUCAGGAGAACCAAGGCGGUGAUCGGGCUGCUUAGAGUGGUGGCACUUGGGUUACAACAUUUUGUGAGGUUUGUUAUGCUCAUUUAGAGCUUACAAAAUUUACGUUGUAAGAGUGAGUUGUAAUAAUUAACUCGAAGUUUUCGAGAUUUGUAUUUUGAGUGGUGUGAGGCAUGAUUGUUCUGAAAAAUUUUCAGAAUGUAUAAGUGUUUAAGUUUGUUUAAUUCAUGUUUCGGAUUUUGAUUGUGU
Molecule: long non-coding RNA, 1346 nt
Organism: Rosa chinensis
Lineage: Eukaryota; Viridiplantae; Streptophyta; Magnoliopsida; Rosales; Rosaceae
Exons: 7
Source: RefSeq, a predicted model, not a curated record